Molecule: ribosomal RNA, 460 nt
Filed under: uncultured bacterium
Lineage: Bacteria
Description: partial 16S ribosomal RNA
Rfam family: Bacterial small subunit ribosomal RNA
Source: RNAcentral
CCUACGGGAGGCAGCAGUGAGGAAUAUUUGUCAAUGGGCUUACGCCUGAACCAGCCAAGUCGCGUGAGGGAAGACUGCCCUAUGGGUUGUAAACCUCUUUUGUCAGGGAGCAAUUGGCGCUACGUGUAGCGUUAUCGAGAGUACCUGAAGAAAAAGAAUCGGCUAACCCCGUGCCAGCAGCCGCGGUAAUACGGAGGAUGCGAGCGUUAUCCGGAUUGAUUGGGUUUAAAGGGUGCGUAGGCGGAAUGCCAAGUCAGCGGUAAAAUCGCGGGGCUCAACCUCGCUCCGCCGUUGAAACUGGCGUUCUUGAGUGGGCGAGAAGUAUGCGGAAUGCGUGGUGUAGCGGUGAAAUGCAUAGAUAUCACGCAGAACUCCGAUUGCGAAGGCAGCAUACCGGCGCCCAACUGACGCUGAAGCACGAAAGCGUGGGUAUCGAACAGGAUUAGAUACCCUUGUAGUC